AGCAGCCGCGGUAAUUCCAGCUCCAAUAGCGUAUAUUAAAGUUGUUGCAGUUAAAAAGCUCGUAGUUGAAUUUCGGGAUCAAUAUGUUGGUCGUGCCUUGGUACGUACUGGCAUUAUUGGUUCCUACCUUCUGAAGAACCUCGAUGUCAUUAAUUUGGUGUCUUGGGGAAUCAGGACUGUUACUUUGAAAAAAUUAGAGUGUUUAAAGCAGGCUCGCGCUUGAAUACAUUAGCAUGGAAUAAUGAAAUAGGACGUUUGAUUCUAUUUUGUUGGUUUCUAGGAUCGACGUAAUGAUUAAUAGGGAUAGUUGGGGGCAUUAGUAUUCAAUUGUCAGAGGUGAAAUUCUUGGAUUUAUUGAAGACUGACUACUGCGAAAGCAUUUGCCAAGGAUGUUUUCAUUAAUCAAGAACGAAAGUUAGGGGAUCGAAGACGAUCAGAUACCGUCGUAGUCUUAACCAUAAACUAUGCCGACUAGGGAUCGGAUGAUGUUAAUUUUUUAAUGACUCAUUCGGCGCCUUACG
Molecule: ribosomal RNA, 521 nt
Filed under: uncultured Glomus
Lineage: Eukaryota; Fungi; Glomeromycota; Glomeromycetes; Glomerales; Glomeraceae
Also listed under: 1 other name
Description: SSU rRNA
Rfam family: Eukaryotic small subunit ribosomal RNA
Source: RNAcentral